GAACCAGAAAACAGAGCCCCUGGAUGGGGCUGUAGAGGCCUCCAUCUCCCCCUCGGGCCCGGUGCCCAGGAGGUCCAGCAGCUCCAAGGGAGAGAGCUUUGGUCCACUACAACCACCAGAGGAGGGGGAGGGGAGACCAGAACCAUGCCCAGGCUCAGGGCAAGCAGGCCAGCCUGCGGACAGCGUAGCCUGCCCCUGCCUACCUCUCCCUCCCCAGAUGGGUCAACAACUCUACAAGGACUGGAGGGAGAGAGCCUGGGGAAGAUACUUUCCUUCAGUAACCAGGUUUCCCAUGCCCUGAUGCGUUCCAUGCACUCCCUGCUCCCCUCCCUGGUUCUACUAGGCCGGGUAACCCGGGUCAGACCCACCCCCUGUAUCCCCUCUAGUCUGCAGCCCGGAGGAGCCCGACCCGGCCCAGAACACUCCCCUCUCCCCUGGCCCCGACAGCAAUGAGAAUAGCUUCUCUGUCAGCCUAUCUGAUCUGAGGCAGUGUACCAUUGAGCGGGGGGGGGAGGAGGGAGUGGACCUGGUCUCACGCCCAUCUCCGUCAGCAUGUGCCCACUCUGUUAUCUCAGCCAUCCCUCAACAGGAAAUACAGACAUGAUCCAGGAAGUCAAAGGAAGUGAAAGCUCUGGAUGAGGAGGAAACACUGAAGUGAACUGUCAGUUUCUGUCUGUGUGUCCGGCCUGUCUGUUUCAUUGUUUUUAAUUGAUUUGGAGGUCCGUCCACCUCUUCCUCACAAGAAGGGCCUUGCUGACUGUAUUCCUCACAAGAAGGGCCUCGCUGACUGUAUUCUCACAAGAAGGACAUGCUAUUCCCUC
Molecule: long non-coding RNA, 821 nt
Filed under: Oncorhynchus kisutch (coho salmon)
Lineage: Eukaryota; Metazoa; Chordata; Actinopteri; Salmoniformes; Salmonidae
Description: lncRNA (ENSOKIG00005043064.1)
Source: RNAcentral